UGGACCGUUUGCAUCCAACUGACCUCGCUGAAGACUGCAGAAGCCCUUGGUCAGACUACUCUCAGGGUUGAAUCUCCCUGGCUUGACUGAGAUUCAGACUUUAUGGAACCUGAUUCAACAACUGAUGAGACUGGAAUUGAAGCACUACUUUAAGAUUUAUUGUCUCCUCUUCUACAAGGAUAUACAUUCAACAAGGAAAGAGAUUCUUUGUUCACCACUUUUCCUCCAGCACACGUCAUGCAGUCAAUUAAUAUUAAUUGAUAAAAGGAAUAAAUUAUUGCAUUAGAAUGCUGAUCAACAUCAAGAAUUCUUCCAGUCAUGUAUAAUGAAGACGGCAUUUGAUUAUCAUUCUGAAUGACUUCAACAUAUCAGGACAACUUCUCCCAGAGACUACUUUGUUCAAUAAUAUAAAGCACCACCACCAUUAUUAAGAGUCAAAAAGCACUGAACCGGAGAAAGCAGUUACAUACAAAUUUUGUCAUUUGAUAGAAUCAACCAAAUAUAUAAACAAGAAUCCUGACAUCUUAAAGAAAUCAGUAAACAAAUAAAAGAAGUACCAAAGU
Molecule: long non-coding RNA, 563 nt
Organism: Gorilla gorilla gorilla (western lowland gorilla)
Lineage: Eukaryota; Metazoa; Chordata; Mammalia; Primates; Hominidae
Exons: 3
Source: RefSeq, a predicted model, not a curated record